GACGAACGCUGGCGGCGUGCUUAACACAUGCAAGUCGAACGGAAAGGCCCUGCUUUUGUGGGGUGCUCGAGUGGCGAACGGGUGAGUAACACGUGAGUAACCUGCCCUUGACUUUGGGAUAACUUCAGGAAACUGGGGCUAAUACCGGAUAGGAGCUCCUGCUGCAUGGUGGGGGUUGGAAAGUUUCGGCGGGUGGGGAUGGACUCGCGGCUUAUCAGCUUGUUGGUGGGGUAGUGGCAUACCAAGGGUUUGACGGGUAGCCGGCCUGGGAGGGUGACCGGCCACAUUGGGACUGAGAUACGGCCCAGACUCCUACGGGAGGCAGAAGUGGGGAGUAUUGCACAAUGGGCGGAAGCCUGAUGCAGCAACGCCGCGUGCGGGAUGACGGCCUUCGGGUUGUAAACCGCUUUCGCCUGUGACGAAGCGUGAGUGACGGUAAUGGGUAAAGAAGCACCGGCUAACUACGUG
RNAcentral lists this ribosomal RNA (468 nucleotides) under uncultured bacterium. RNAcentral describes it as "partial 16S ribosomal RNA". It matches the Rfam family "Bacterial small subunit ribosomal RNA", at positions 28 to 507 of the family's 1533-position model. The record is from RNAcentral.